UAGCAGUGGUUUCUUUGGCCUU
Molecule: small nuclear RNA, 22 nt
Filed under: Arabidopsis thaliana (thale cress)
Lineage: Eukaryota; Viridiplantae; Streptophyta; Magnoliopsida; Brassicales; Brassicaceae
Description: snRNA_16527
Source: RNAcentral